AAAGGGAGACCUAAUUCGGGUAUAAGACGAAGAAAUAGUAGUCGAAACCAAGAAUCAAUCCCAAAAGGUCGGAACGAGGUAUGUGGCUUUCAAACUAGGUUCUGGGUUCAUAAAAGACCUGAAUCAGGAACAAGGGCUAUUAUCUCAGGUGGUUAGAGCGCACCCCUGAUAAGGGUGAGGUCCCUGGUUCGAGUCCAGGAUGGCCCACCUGCACAGGUGGCAAAAACAAGAGAAGCGAGGAAUCAGCACCUUAUCUUACUGACAUAGUAAGAGAGAAUGCUGGCUCUGAGUAAAGAGUCCAGAGGAACCUUGAAAACUGCAUAGAGCUAGGUGAAAAAGCCAAAAAAGAAGACCGCAAG
RNAcentral lists this transfer RNA (359 nucleotides) under uncultured Microcystis sp. Its description in RNAcentral is "partial 16S-23S ribosomal RNA intergenic spacer". The stretch from base 134 to 207 matches the Rfam family "tRNA". The record is from RNAcentral. Lineage: Bacteria; Bacillati; Cyanobacteriota; Cyanophyceae; Chroococcales; Microcystaceae.